This 338-nucleotide long non-coding RNA is filed under the name Mytilus galloprovincialis (Mediterranean mussel). Lineage: Eukaryota; Metazoa; Mollusca; Bivalvia; Mytilida; Mytilidae. The record is from RNAcentral.
CGCGAUUUGCUUUUUGUCCGCUUUUGCUUUUUGUCCGAUUAUUUUGCUUUUUGUCCGAUACUUUUGCUUUUUGUCCGUUGCUUUUGUCCGUUUUGCUUUUUGUCCGAUAAUUUGCUUUUUGUCCGAUACUUUUGCUUUUUGUCCGUUGCUUUUUGUCCGUUUUGCUUUUUGUCCGAUAAUUUUGCUUUUUGUCCGACACUUUUGCUUUUUGUCCGUUGCUUUUGUCCGUUUUGCUUUUUUUUUUAGCUCACCUGGACCAUAGGACUAAGUGAGCUUUUCUCAUUUUCUCAUUAUUCGUCGUCGUCAUUAAUUUUUACAAAAAUCUUCUCUUCUGAAAC